RNAcentral lists this long non-coding RNA (1142 nucleotides) under Homo sapiens (human). RNAcentral's name for it is "long intergenic non-protein coding RNA 2693". The record is from RNAcentral. Lineage: Eukaryota; Metazoa; Chordata; Mammalia; Primates; Hominidae.
GGCUGGCUGUUUGAGGACUGCGCGCGGAGCUCCGUGGCGGGUGUCUGAAGUCGUGAGUUUACUGCUUGUAAGGAACAUAGCGAUCACUGGGAACCUGGAAGUAGAGACUCCUUUCUGCCAUCCAUCCGUCCCUCGGGCUGCUGCGAAUCCCCCCGCCGGCCUCCAGGACCCCGGGCUGACUGAACGCCCGCACCGGUCCCGCCGCCCCAGGGCCCGCUACGCGCCCGGCAUAAUGGGAGAAAAAUCACGACGGAAAGGCCCAGCCCCUCGCCAUGCAGACGGGAAGCUUGGCCGCACGUGUGAUCACCCUUACGCCCCUUGGAGUUUCACCCCCUCUUCGCGGGCUCCAACAGCCUGGGUCAGGCCUCCUUGUCCUGUGUGGGCCUCUCGGCUGCAAGAACACAGUCCCGAGCCCCGGCGAGCCCGCGCGCCUCCCACCCGCCGUGCACAGGCUGCACUUUACGCCCCAGCACUGCGCCUGCGGGACCAUCUGGAUCGCUUUUCCAUUCUGAUGACGUCCUGUACUUCGUGGCUGCAGGCUCCUCAAGCCCCAGGUCUGUGCAGAGACGAGCAAAGCAGCAGAAUAUCCGUGCCACAGCUUUCUGGAGCACCCAUUUUACUACCAGAUUUGGAAGGAACGAAGUUAAGUAAUUUCCAAGAAUCAUCUCCCCUGCCCCACAAACAUGAAAGAAAAGACAAGAGAAGCACCCCAGAAGAGGAGGGGAGAAGUGCCCCAGAAAAAAUCAUCCAGUCUCUGAAGCUUUGCCCAGGAGCCAGCUGAGGAGGUGUGUCAUGCAACUUGCCCCCCCAGCCCUCCCCUUCUAAGGAACCCCCACACCUGCUCUGUCUUCCUGCUACAGUCUCUGAGAAAAGCCCUUUCAUCUGUCAAGAACUACAAAAGUCAUUCUUUAAGCAGUGCUAAAUAAACAAUGAAACAGACACAAAGUUAAAGUUACCUGAUCCAAAAAGGAGUGAAGCCUAGACCCCAGCCCACUGACUCAGUCUCUAAGACCCCUCACUCAAAUCUUCAAUCAACAGUGGAGAUGGCUGUGAGCUCUUCUGAUUCCAGAUGACAAUACUCCUCCCUUUAAUUCCUUGAUAUGUUUAAUUAUGUAAGUAAAUUUAAUAUAAAAAUCAUUGCA